RNAcentral lists this ribosomal RNA (467 nucleotides) under uncultured Anaerolineaceae bacterium. Its description in RNAcentral is "bacterial SSU rRNA". It matches the Rfam family "Bacterial small subunit ribosomal RNA", at positions 901 to 1382 of the family's 1533-position model. The record is from RNAcentral. Lineage: Bacteria; Bacillati; Chloroflexota; Anaerolineae; Anaerolineales; Anaerolineaceae.
UCAAAGGAAUUGACGGGACCCCGCACAAGCAGCGGAGCGUGUGGUUUAAUUCGAGGCUACACGAAGAACCUUACCAGGGUUUGACAUGCAAGUGUAGGAAUCCGAAAGGUGACCGACCCUUCGGGGAGCUUGCACAGGUGCUGCAUGGCUGUCGUCAGCUCGUGUCGUGAGAUGUUCGGUUAAGUCCGCUAACGAUCGCAACCCUCGUCGUGUGUUAUACGUGUCACACGAUACUGCCGGUAUCAAGCCGGAGGAAGGUGGGGAUGAUGUCAAGUCCUCAUGGCCCUUAUGGGUAGGGCUUCACACGUCAUACAAUGGUCGGUACAGAGGGUUGCCAACCCGCGAGGGGGAGCUAAUCCCACAAAGCCGAUCGUAGUCCGGAUCGCAGUCUGCAACUCGACUGCGUGAAGUCGGAAUCGCUAGUAAUCGUGGAUCAGCAUGUCACGGUGAAUACGUCCCCGGGUCUU